GAGUAGAUAGUCCAAACAAGAUAGUUGAUUUCGGCUCAACAGAUUAUGGUUUAAACCCAUAUCCGCUCU
RNAcentral lists this transfer RNA (69 nucleotides) under Rhinophrynus dorsalis (Mexican burrowing toad). RNAcentral's name for it is "tRNA-Arg". It matches the Rfam family "tRNA". From Rfam's summary of the family: Transfer RNA (tRNA) molecules are approximately 80 nucleotides in length. Their secondary structure includes four short double-helical elements and three loops (D, anti-codon, and T loops). Further hydrogen bonds mediate the characteristic L-shaped molecular structure. tRNAs have two regions of fundamental functional importance: the anti-codon, which is responsible for specific mRNA codon recognition, and the 3' end, to which the tRNAs corresponding amino acid is attached (by aminoacyl-tRNA synthetases). tRNAs cope with the degeneracy of the genetic code in two manners: having more than one tRNA (with a specific anti-codon) for a particular amino acid; and 'wobble' base-pairing, i.e. permitting non-standard base-pairing at the 3rd anti-codon position. The record is from RNAcentral. Lineage: Eukaryota; Metazoa; Chordata; Amphibia; Anura; Rhinophrynidae.